CUCUCUCUCUCUCUCUCUCUCUCUCUCUCUCUCUCUAUAAUACAACUUUCUCUCUCUACUGCAGCCGCACUCUCCGCUCUCCUGAUGUCCUCAUUAACAUGUCCUCAUUAACAUUACCACCCCUGGCCCUUCUUUCUUUAAGAGAUACACGCUGUUGUCGCAUCAACCAGAUGUUUUAUCGUUGACGCCCCUGUCUUCGCUGGAAAUUGAGGCUCCAGUUCUUCCUCCGUUUCCAUAUUCGCUAGUGGCUGUUUUGGACACCACAUAUUUGGAUUGCUAUUUUGGGUUGUGUGGUGGUAGGUUGGGUGACCACCUGAUUGUGUUACUGUUUUGGGUUGUGGUGGUGAUGUUUUGGUGGUGGUACUGGUCGGAGUGGCAUUGGGAUGGAAUGCGCCGGAUGAAAUGUAGGAUUAUUUUCCUUAAUAAUUGAUUGUGUAAUUAUUACACGAUCUUUAUUAUUUUCUUUUAGGUUUACUUGUAAUCCUAUAAAUUGGUCUUCUCCUUUGUAAUAUUCGCGAGACUUUAUUAUAUACAAUUUACAAUUUUCUUGACAUGGUCUCAGAACCGUUCCGAUCCUAAACAAAUUAACAAUUGAAUUUCACCCGACCAAAUUUUCUUUUAGUAGAAAUCCCAAAAAAAUUUUAAAAUUGCUCGAGAAAAUAGAGAUUUCAAAACUGGUAAAAUACAAAAUAUAUCUCUCAUUCUUCCUCUGUAAUUACAUUAUUACCAUUAUUAGGGGCCGUCUAAAUAGUCGACAGAGGUGGAACAGCCAAAGCAGCCAAGAUAAAAAUAAAAUCUAAGGUAGACAUCAGAUGAAUUCACAAGUGGUAGCAAGAUUCGACGUUAGGAGGGCCGAAAGCCUCGACUGUCGAUUAGAGUGACUAGCAGCUUGGGUUUAGAUUCUGUAGUGGAUUUGCAAGGUGCAUUACUGGCAGAGACGACGGAGUCAAAAUAUAGGAUAGAGACAAUCAUAUGUGGGUUAUUUAUUUUUCGAUUUUGGAUGUGAGAGGCAGAGGUGUAUGGUGGAUGUGCAUAGGUUAUUAAAUGGUGUGUAGCGAUGGAAAAUUCUCAUCGAUGGUUUGUUGGAUACCAUGGUAGAGAUAGCAAUUUUACAGUCGCUAUUUUAGUAGUUUGAACUACCUGCGUGGGUGGUGUGUGGUUUGUUGGAUGGCAUGGUGGAGAUAGCGAUUUUGCAGUCGCGAUUUUAGCAAUUAGGACUACUUGCGUGGGUGGUGUGUUAUCGAGUGUGGAGGUGGCGAUCUGACAUGGCAAGAAACUAGGUUCUUGGAUGUGGCUAGAGUUUUGUUAUUUCCGACAAGUGCAGGUGCAGAUGACGAGCUCGGCGAUGAGAUGACUACCGACGGGAGGUGUGGUGCCGAUGAGAUGAGACGGCGAUGAUUUAAAUUUUGAGGAAACCUUAAGGAUGAGCAUCGGUUCAUCUUUCUGGUACAAUUGGGCUGUGAUUUGUGAGAUUUGGGCGUGUUCUUGUUCUGGACUCUUCUUGUGGGCUAGGAAACUUAAUUGGUUUGGAGCUUAGUUGGGCUGGGUGAUUUAAGAUAUAUGGGGUUGUUUGUUAUUGUUGCAUAUUGUUGGGCCUACUAGGUUAGUGGUUAUUGGGUCGUUCAAUAAGUUGGAUCUUCAAAAAUAUGUGGGUUUUCUGGACUUAUCUUGGGUUUUAUAGGAUCAAAAAUUUGAAUUUGAUGGAAAUUAAUUUUGCUUGUGGUAAUUCGAGAAAUUCGAUUCAUCUGGUCAUUUAUUGAGUCGUUGGGAAUUUAAUUUGGGCAUUAGCAAUUUCGUUUGGAUUGUUUCCUCUUAUUUUAGUGUGGGCUUCAUUGUGGGCCGGUUUGGUUGUAAUUGGGAUGAAAAUGUGGUUUGGUUUUGGUCCAGUGUAUCUGGUAUUCGAAAUUUGGCACAAUUGGAUUUUGGAAUUGGUAUGUCAAGUUCAAUUGACAUUUUUGGUGUAAGUUGUUUGGUGGGAUUUCUUCCAACUGCAGCAUCUUGGUCAGCAAUAUUGCUGAAUUUUGGUCGGUGUAUUAGUGUUAGAACUUUUGUCGAAACACGAAUUAUGUGUUCAACUGAGUUCUCUCGACAGAUAGAACUCACUGUGUAAGUCGGCACACUUCGUCAAUCUCUUUUGAAAAUUCUUCUUAGGGAGUGAGUUCUCUGGAGCAUCUUUGGAGUGGUUGAAUCUUUGAUUCUCUUUGGUCAUAAUUCAACCUUUUAGGUGUGGGUUUCUUGUGGUUGUCCAUGGUUGACAGAAUUUUUGUUAAUGUGUGACUCUUGGUGCAUCAAGUGUGGUGAGAGCAUUCGGCAUUUUGGUGAUGAUUUGUUAGUGUCAUCAGUUUCUGGUCGGACAUUGAUUCUUUGUCGGGAAUCAUAUCGAGUUUUGAAUCAGUUCUUGGGUUUGAAGUUCAGCAACAUUAAGUUCUUGAUUUAUGGGUCCUACAAAAAUGUUGACUCGACAACACAUCAAGUUCGCGAUUGCAAAUUGAUGUUUUUACCAGCAUCAAUUUGAGGGGGGUGUCAGUAGAAUAUAAUAAUAUAUAGAAUCAAUAUUUCUCCAUGAUAGUUUUCCAAUAGUGUAGGAUUAUGUUCCUUAAUAAUUGAUUUGUAAUUAUAACACAAUCUUUCCUUUUGAGUUAUUUCAUUUGAGGUUUAUUUGUAA
RNAcentral lists this long non-coding RNA (2665 nucleotides) under Olea europaea (common olive). Its description in RNAcentral is "long non-coding RNA (OEUR_LNC003093)". The record is from RNAcentral. Lineage: Eukaryota; Viridiplantae; Streptophyta; Magnoliopsida; Lamiales; Oleaceae.